UACGUAGGGUGCGAGCGUUAAUCGGAAUUACUGGGCGUAAAGCGUGCGCAGGCGGUUCGUUAUGUCCGAUGUGAAAGCCCCGAGCUUAACUUGGGAAUGGCAUUGGAAACUGGCGGGCUGGAGUGCGGCAGAGGGGGGUGGAAUUCCACGUGUAGCAGUGAAAUGCGUAGAUAUGUGGAGGAACACCGAUGGCGAAGGCAGCCCCCUGGGUCAAAACUGACGCUCAUGCACGAAAGCGU
Molecule: ribosomal RNA, 239 nt
Filed under: uncultured prokaryote
Description: partial 16S ribosomal RNA
Rfam family: Bacterial small subunit ribosomal RNA
Source: RNAcentral